RNAcentral lists this ribosomal RNA (424 nucleotides) under uncultured bacterium. RNAcentral's name for it is "bacterial SSU rRNA". It matches the Rfam family "Bacterial small subunit ribosomal RNA", at positions 359 to 776 of the family's 1533-position model. The record is from RNAcentral.
GAAUUGUUCGCAAUGGGCGCAAGCCUGACGACGCAACGCCGCGUGGAGGAUGAAGGUCUUCGGAUUGUAAACUCCUGUUGCCCGGGACGAAUGGCUUCAACCUAAUACGUUGACGUGUGACGGUACCGGGUGAGGAAGCCCCGGCUAACUCUGUGCCAGCCGCCGCGGUAAGACAGAGGGGGCAAGCGUUGUUCGGAAUUACUGGGCGUAAAGGGCGCGUAGGCGGCCUGCUAAGUCGAACGUGAAAUCCCUGGGCUCAACCCAGGAACUGCGUCCGAUACUGGUUGGCUUGAAUCCGGGAGAGGGAUGUGGAAUUCCAGGUGUAGCGGUGAAAUGCGUAGAUAUCUGGAGGAACACCGGUGGCGAAGGCGACAUCCUGGACCGGUAUUGACGCUGAGGCGCGAAAGCCAGGGGAGCAAACGGG